AAAAAGAAACAGAGAUGUGGUAGUUUAGAAACACUAUUGUGUUUGAUCAAAAAAGAAAAAGAAACACUAUUGUGUUUGCCCAAAAAAAAAGAAAAAAAAAGAAACACUAUUGUGAAGCUUUUAGAGAACCUUCAACCCUCAAAUCAGUUUAAAAACACACCAGAUUUUGUUUGGAAAUUAAGAAUAGAUUAGCAAUGGGUCCAGAAAAUUAGUCUCCGAUGAAUUCUUUCGAUGUAUAGACGUUUCCUGUGGAAGAAUAUAGAGAAAAGAUGUUGCUAUUUGACAAACAAGAAAAAGAUUGGGUAUUUAAGUUUUACGUGAGAGAACGUGAAAACAAUAAGAUCGUAUCCAAGUGAAGAGGAUGUUGAGUUUUAAAGAAAGGAACUAGCAUGAAUUUGUAAACCACGUCGAGCAUCGGAUUAUAAGGGUCUUAUAAGAUUUUAUCCAAGUGAUCAGAAAAGGAAAUAGAAGUAGAAUGAAAAAGUAAUUCAAAAAUUUUAUUACUUAAACAAGCAUUGCAAUAAAAUAGAGUUUUCAAAGAAAGUAGAACGAUUAGAAAAACUAGAUUCAAAAAUUGGAGGAGCGGGAUGACCAAGUCGCAAAUGCAACUUAACCAACAUCGAUUUUGAAAAAGAUAAGGCAGAAAAAGAAAUUGUUGUGGUUGGCCACUAUAUAUCGAGGAAAUCUUUUUUGGAUUUUCUUGAGGUCUCCAUGAUUGGUAUAUUGAUGGAGCUGAUGU
This 739-nucleotide long non-coding RNA is filed under the name Arabidopsis lyrata. RNAcentral's name for it is "long non-coding RNA (ALYR_LNC001904)". The record is from RNAcentral. Lineage: Eukaryota; Viridiplantae; Streptophyta; Magnoliopsida; Brassicales; Brassicaceae.